This is a regulatory RNA element of Phalacrocorax carbo (great cormorant), 46 nucleotides long. It matches the Rfam family "Histone 3' UTR stem-loop". From Rfam's summary of the family: The mRNAs of metazoan histone genes lack a poly-A tail. 3' end processing occurs at a site between a highly conserved stem-loop (modelled by this family) and a purine rich region around 20 nts downstream (the histone downstream element, or HDE). Lineage: Eukaryota; Metazoa; Chordata; Aves; Suliformes; Phalacrocoracidae. The record is from Rfam.
CCAAAGGCUCUUUUAAGAGCCACCCACUGAAACUAGAAAAGAGCUG